UUAUAUAAAGUCAUGGUAAGC
RNAcentral lists this non-coding RNA (21 nucleotides) under Rattus norvegicus (Norway rat). The record is from RNAcentral. Lineage: Eukaryota; Metazoa; Chordata; Mammalia; Rodentia; Muridae.